GUGAAUCUUCAAAAGUCGGCUUGUCGGAUUGUGCUGGUGGAGACACAUGUGCACGUCUGCGAGUCGCAAACCCACACACCUGUGCAUCUAUGACUCUGAGUGCCGCUUUGCAUGGCCUUGACCGGCCUGGCGCUCGAGUACUUUUUCAUACACACUUGAAAGUAACGGAAUGUCUUGUCAUGCUUAAUGUACAAAUUGAAA
This 201-nucleotide unclassified non-coding RNA is filed under the name uncultured Sebacina. Its description in RNAcentral is "sequence contains ITS1". Lineage: Eukaryota; Fungi; Basidiomycota; Agaricomycetes; Sebacinales; Sebacinaceae. The record is from RNAcentral.